AUACUUACCUGGCAGGGGAAAUACCAUGACCACUAAGGUGGUUUUCUUACUGGCAGGGGACAACCACUUUCCUGACCUAGGUAAUGCAUACCCCCACUUUCACUUCCAGUGGGAAGAUCUCAGCUAUGUGCCAACUUUAUGGAAAUGGGAGACUGCUCCCU
This is a small nuclear RNA of Alligator sinensis (Chinese alligator), 161 nucleotides long. RefSeq annotates it as U1 spliceosomal RNA. The record is from RefSeq and is a predicted model, not a curated record. The transcript has a single exon. NCBI's taxonomy places the organism in Eukaryota, Metazoa, Chordata, Crocodylia, Alligatoridae.